AAACUGUGAAGUAAAAUAUGUUUUCAACAACAAAGUAAUUUGAAGAUGUUCUUUACCACUAGAGUGGAUGAUGCAUUUGCAUAUAUGCAAAUAGAAACCACAGGUGAGAAUCUUCCCAACAGAGAAACACUGUGCACACAUGGGUUUGUUUUUUUCUUUUUCUCUUUUUUAUUUGGUAUUUUAGUUAUUUACAUUUCAAAUGUUAUACCCUUUCCUGGUUUUCCCUCUGGAAACCUCAUCUCAUCCUCCUUCCCCUGCUUCUAUGAGAGCACUUACCCACCCACCCACUCCCACCUCCCUGCCCUGGCAUUUCCCUACACUGGAGCAUCGAACCUUCCCAGGACUAAGGGCCUCUUCUCCCAUUAAUGUCCAACAAGGCCAUUUUCUGAUACAUAUGCAGCUGGAGACAUGGGUUUCUCCAUGUGUACUCUUUGAUUGGUGGUUUAGUCGCUGAGAACUUUUGUGUGUGGGUGGUCUGUUUGAUAUUCUUGUUCCUAUGGGUUACAAACCCCUUCAGCUCCUUCAGUCCUUUCUUUAACUCCUCCAUUGGGGACCCCAUGCUCAGUGCAAUGGUUGUCUGCGAGCAUUUGCCUCUGUAUAUGUCAGACUCUGGCAAAGCCUCUCAGGAGACACCUACAUCAGGCUCCUGUCAGCAAGUACUCUUGGCAUCCAUAAUAAUAUCUAGGUUUGGUGUCUGUAUAUGGGAUGGAUCUCCAGGUGGGGCAGCCUUUGGAUGGCCUCUCCUUCAGUCCCUGCUCCACACUUUGUCUUUGUAUUUACUCCCCUGAGUAUUUGUCCCCCCCCCUUCUAAAAAGAACUGAAGCUGCUAUGUUUGUGUUCAUAGCAGUCUUAUUUAUAAUAGCCAGAAGCUGGAAAGAACCCAGAUGUCCUUCAACGGGGGAAUGGAUGCAGAAAAUGUGGUACAUUUACAUAAUGGAGUACCACUCAGCUAUUAAAAACAACAACUUCAUAAAAUUCUUAGGCAAAUGGAUGGAACUAGAAAAUAUCAUCCUGAAUGAGGUAACCCAGUCACAAAAGAACACACAAGGUAUACACUUACUGGUAAGUGGAUAUUAGCCCCAAAUCAUGGAAUACCCAAGAAACAAUUCACAGACCACAUGAAGCUCAAGAAGAAGGGUUUGUUAUUUUCAUUUUUCUCUUCUCUGAAUGAGAUGAGAGAGAAUGGAUUUUUAUUGAAAUAAAUCACCAGGUUCCAAAAGCAGCCAGGGGAAGGUAUAAGAAAAAUUAAUUAAGUAAAAUAGUUGCUAUGUCAGAUUCCUUAAUUAUCAACUUGCUGCAUCGGCAAGUUCUCUAUGACACCACUGUAAGUCAGAGAUUAUAGUCCUAUGUUUUUGUCUUUUCUUGUCAAACGAGAGAACUCAGCCCUGUUAUAUAUGUGAUAGAUUAUAUGCACAUGUAGAUUACACACACACACACACACACACACACACACACACACACACACACAUAGGUAUAGGUAAAUUGAAACUGCUCAAAGGCACUUUCAGAUUGCAAGAGUGUUGGGCUAGGACACCUAGAUCAGAAGUUUCUAAGUGGCCCCCGAGAGAAGAUCAUUGUGCUUUGCUGGCCCAGUAUUUGUUCUGUUCCCUAUUGUGUUUGCAGAGGUGCCCAGUGGCAGCAGACUUUGUAAAGAACAGCUGCUGGAUGAAGCAAUUAUUCCUGGAACUUCCAAGUCGUAACCUCAGAUCCACAGGACCUGAAAAUCUGCCAUGGAUACACCGGGCCAGCAGUGAUGAAGGUCUCCAUAUUCCUAUAGGCAAAACCCUCUGCCUUGGUCCACCUGGAAGUACAGCCUGUCUGUCAGCUCAACCCACCAUGCUACAUCUUCAAGCAUCCCAGCUUUCCUAAGCCAAAGAAUUACCAAGAACAUAUUGGUAUCAGCAUACAGAGGUGUGUUGGUAUGAAUGUGUCCUAGAAAUGGAGGAAACCCACAAAGGAGGAACGGGAUGGCACGUGUGCACGCUACUGCAGGAGGUGAGAGUUCAUCUCAGCAUGCAAGAUCCUCCUGGAGCCCUGCUGCACUUGGAAUCUCCUGCA
This is a non-coding RNA of Rattus norvegicus (Norway rat), 2058 nucleotides long. The record is from RefSeq and is a predicted model, not a curated record. NCBI's taxonomy places the organism in Eukaryota, Metazoa, Chordata, Mammalia, Rodentia, Muridae.